This 535-nucleotide long non-coding RNA is filed under the name Callithrix jacchus (white-tufted-ear marmoset). Its description in RNAcentral is "lncRNA (ENSCJAG00000072593.1)". Lineage: Eukaryota; Metazoa; Chordata; Mammalia; Primates; Cebidae. The record is from RNAcentral.
CCUGGCUCAUUAAAAUCUGAAUUGUCGGCCAGGUGUGAUGGUUCACACCUGUAAUCCCAGUUACUCGGGAGGCUAAGGCAGGAGAAUCGCUUGAAUCUGGGAGGAGUAGGCUGCAGUGAGCUGAGACGGCGCCACUGCACCCCAGCCUGGGCGACAGAGUGAGACUUCGUCUCAAAAAAAAAAAAAAAAAAUCUGGAUUGUCCAGUGCGGCUUCCGUUGACGGUUGCCCGCGGGGAUAUAGGAACAUGGCGGCCUCCCCUCCGGCAAUCACAGAAGUAGCUGAAAAGGAGGAAAGUAAUGCCCAGGGGAAUCCAGUGUGGGAUUAUGACAAGCAAUGGCAGUUAGCUGGAUUUGCUGCCACUUUUUGCACAACAAGGGAAGUGUUUUAAUUGGCUUUGCGCUUCCUGCUUUACAACAGUUCUGGCCUCACAUUACCAGGACCUGUGGUGGAAAAGUCCUGGACUGGUCAGCCUGUGAGCCUGUAACAUGGAGAGAGUGGAACCAGAACAAACUGUCUAGAACAACCAGACAAUAA